This 500-nucleotide ribosomal RNA is filed under the name uncultured bacterium. RNAcentral describes it as "partial 16S ribosomal RNA". It matches the Rfam family "Bacterial small subunit ribosomal RNA", at positions 30 to 523 of the family's 1533-position model. The record is from RNAcentral.
AUUGAACGCUGGCGGAAUGCUUUACACAUGCAAGUCGAACGGCAGCACGGACUUCGGUCUGGUGGCGAGUGGCGAACGGGUGAGUAAUACAUCGGAACGUGCCCAGUCGUGGGGGAUAACGUAGCGAAAGCUACGCUAAUACCGCAUACGAUCUAAGGAUGAAAGCGGGGGAUCGCAAGACCUCGCGCGAUUGGAGCGGCCGAUGGCGGAUUAGGUAGUUGGUAGGGUAAAGGCCUACCAAGCCGACGAUCUGUAGCUGGUCCGAGAGGACGACCGACCACACUGGGACUGAGCCACGGCCCAGACGCCUACGGGAGGCAGCAGUGGGGAAUUUUGGACAAUGGACGCAAGUCUGAUCCAGCCAUUCCGCGUGCAGGAUGAAGGCCCUCGGGUUGUAAACUGCUUUUGUACAGAACGAAAAGGCUCUGGUUAAUACCUGGAGCUCAUGACGGUACUGUAAGAAUAAGCACCGGCUAACUACGUGCCAGCCGCCGCCGUAA